Molecule: transfer RNA, 159 nt
Filed under: Spiribacter sp.
Lineage: Bacteria; Pseudomonadati; Pseudomonadota; Gammaproteobacteria; Chromatiales; Ectothiorhodospiraceae
Description: tRNA-Ser
Rfam family: tRNA
About the family: Transfer RNA (tRNA) molecules are approximately 80 nucleotides in length. Their secondary structure includes four short double-helical elements and three loops (D, anti-codon, and T loops). Further hydrogen bonds mediate the characteristic L-shaped molecular structure. tRNAs have two regions of fundamental functional importance: the anti-codon, which is responsible for specific mRNA codon recognition, and the 3' end, to which the tRNAs corresponding amino acid is attached (by aminoacyl-tRNA synthetases). tRNAs cope with the degeneracy of the genetic code in two manners: having more than one tRNA (with a specific anti-codon) for a particular amino acid; and 'wobble' base-pairing, i.e. permitting non-standard base-pairing at the 3rd anti-codon position.
Source: RNAcentral
GGAGAGGUGGCUGAGUGGUCGAAUGAGCCGAUUCUGGCAAAUUUUGAAAACGUCAGUCCAAUAAAAUCAAUUAGUUACAGUGCAUGUAGGCCUAAGUAUUCCACUCGAAAUGCGGUGAACCGAAAGGUUCCGGGGGUUCGAAUCCCUCCCUCUCCGCCA